RNAcentral lists this non-coding RNA (30 nucleotides) under Mus musculus (house mouse). Lineage: Eukaryota; Metazoa; Chordata; Mammalia; Rodentia; Muridae. The record is from RNAcentral.
UCUGUACUGUCUAUUCUCACUCGGUCUAGU